This 589-nucleotide ribosomal RNA is filed under the name uncultured bacterium. Its description in RNAcentral is "bacterial SSU rRNA". It matches the Rfam family "Bacterial small subunit ribosomal RNA", at positions 334 to 917 of the family's 1533-position model. The record is from RNAcentral.
UACUCCUACGGGAGGCAGCAGUGGGGAAUAUUGCGCAAUGGGGGGAACCCUGACGCAGCCAUGCCGCGUGAAUGAAGAAGGCCUUCGGGUUGUAAAGUUCUUUCGGUAUUGAGGAAGGUUGAUGUGUUAAUAGCACAUCAAAUUGACGUUAAAUACAGAAGAAGCACCGGCUAACUCCGUGCCAGCAGCCGCGGUAAUACGGAGGGUGCGAGCGUUAAUCGGAAUAACUGGGCGUAAAGGGCACGCAGGCGGUUAUUUAAGUGAGGUGUGAAAGCCCCGGGCUUAACCUGGGAAUUGCAUUUCAGACUGGGUAACUAGAGUACUUUAGGGAGGGGUAGAAUUCCACGUGUAGCGGUGAAAUGCGUAGAGAUGUGGAGGAAUACCGAAGGCGAAGGCAGCCCCUUGGGAAUGUACUGACGCUCAUGUGCGAAAGCGUGGGGAGCAAACAGGAUUAGAUACCCUGGUAGUCCACGCUGUAAGCGCUGUCGAUUUGGGGGUUGGGGUUUAACUCUGGCGCCCGUAGCUAACGUGAUAAAUCGACCGCCUGGGGAGUACGGCCGCAAGGUUAAAACUCAAAUGAAUUGACGGA